RNAcentral lists this transfer-messenger RNA (345 nucleotides) under Dongibacter bovis. Its description in RNAcentral is "Selenomonas bovis transfer-messenger RNA". It matches the Rfam family "transfer-messenger RNA". Rfam says of the family: Bacterial tmRNA, also known as 10Sa RNA or SsrA, is named for its dual tRNA and mRNA-like properties. RNAcentral also lists the same sequence under 4 other names. Lineage: Bacteria; Bacillati; Bacillota; Negativicutes; Selenomonadales; Selenomonadaceae. The record is from Rfam by way of RNAcentral.
GGGGAUGUAAUGGUUUCGACAGGGUACAGAAGCCACGCAGUUCGCACGUUGAUUGUUGUCAAACGUAAAAGCCAACAGCUAAAUUCAACUGACGAAGCUGAAUACGCAUACGCUGCUUGAUCGAUCCUCGGAUCGAUGACCCAGCCCCUUUGAAAGUACGAGCCGUUCGCCAACUCGAAGGUUUCAAAUAAAAACGGCAGUUUCCGGCUUUGUAAAAGCCGGUGGUGGAAAUCUCUGAAUCCCAGAGGUGCGCUCCUAUGAUGCCUGCAUGCUCAGGCUAUUGCGAUAAUGCUGUGUGAUGUGGAUGUAUUUUGGACAGGAGUUCGAUUCUCCUCAUCUCCACCA